This 267-nucleotide ribosomal RNA is filed under the name uncultured eukaryote. RNAcentral's name for it is "partial 18S ribosomal RNA". It matches the Rfam family "Eukaryotic small subunit ribosomal RNA", at positions 1299 to 1458 of the family's 1831-position model. The record is from RNAcentral.
UGGUGGAGCGAUUUGUCUGGUUAAUUCCGAUAACGAACGAGACUCUAGCCUACUAAAUAGACUUGCAAUUGACACUGCAGUACUCUCCCACGGUAGGCCCAUGGGCCUCGGGUGCAUCUUGUUGGUCUGAGGGUUUCGGCUCUUAGGCUUGCAGGCUCUGCCUCGAGUAACCUAUGGGAUUCUCCGUGGAACGGGAUGCUGUAGCAUUGCAAGGACUUCUUAGAGGGACAAGCGGCGUUCGCAGCCGCACGAAACAGAGCAAUAACA